Molecule: long non-coding RNA, 535 nt
Filed under: Ananas comosus (pineapple)
Lineage: Eukaryota; Viridiplantae; Streptophyta; Magnoliopsida; Poales; Bromeliaceae
Description: long non-coding RNA (ACOM_LNC032863)
Source: RNAcentral
ACAUUGUUGAGAAAAAACUUUAAAUACCACCCCAUGUGGUUUCACACUUUCUCAUUUUAGUACCCUGUGGUUUAAAGUGUAUCAAUUUAGUGCCAUGUGGUUUUCUUUUUAUCUUUUUAUUAUCGAUUUUACUAAUUUUUUUCGUUAAAUUAGUGACAAAGUUAAAACGAAAGGAUACUAAAGUGAAUAUUCGAUAAAUUUAGGUAGGGUAUCUAAAGUUUUUUUGUAUAUAAUUUAACGAAAUAUUAACGGAGGAAAAAAAUCAGUGACAAAAUUAAAACUAAAGGGUACUAAAGUAAAUAUUCGAUAAAUCUAGAUAUGAUAUUUGAAGUUUUUUGUAUAUAAUUUAAUAAAAUAUUAACAGAGGAGUCGACGAAAAAAAAAAAAAAAACCACUGGGUACAAAAUUGAUAUAUUUUAAACUAUAGGGUACUAAAGUGAGAAAGUGCGAAACCACAGGUACUAAAUUGAUACACUUUAUACUGUAGGGUACUAAAGUGAAAAGUACGAAACCACAAGGUGGUAUUUGAAGUUUU